This 1653-nucleotide ribosomal RNA is filed under the name Triticum aestivum (bread wheat). RNAcentral's name for it is "partial small subunit ribosomal RNA". The record is from RNAcentral. Lineage: Eukaryota; Viridiplantae; Streptophyta; Magnoliopsida; Poales; Poaceae.
AUGGAUUCUAGCUCCGAGUGGUUACAAAAACGUCUUGUGAAAUAUCGGUCCAGCAAGAACGAUAUGUAUGAGUCUAUAGAGGAGUUGGAUGACAUGGAUAAACUUGGACAAGGUUUUACGUCGGCCGAUCCAUUAGAAGAGGUAGAUAUUGGAGAUGGUUCAGUCACUCGACCGACAUUUAUAAACAAAAAUUUGAAAGCCGGUUGUAAAGCUAAGUUAAUCGAGCUAUUGAAAGAAUAUGUUUGUUGCUUUGCAUGGGAAUAUCAUGAGAUGCCAGGGUUAAGCCGAGAGCUAGUGGAGCAUUGUUUACCUAUAAAGGCCGGUUUUAGACCAUAUAAACAGUCGGCCAGAAAUUUUAAUCCAAAAACAUAUGACCGGAUCAAGGAAGAGAUCGGUCGACUGCUUGAAGCUAAUUUCAUUCGACCUUGCAGGUAUGCCGAGUGGAUUUCUAACAUUGUCCCAGUGGAGAAGAAGGGAUCCGACAAGUUGAGGGUGUGCAUUGACUUCAGAGAUUUGAAUAGGGCUACACCCAAAGAUGAGUAUCCCAUGCCAAUAGCCGAUAUGCUUAUUAAUGAUGCUUCUGGACAUAAGGUUGUUAAUUUUCUAGAUGGUAAUGCUGGAUACAAUCAAAUUUUUAUGGCCGAAGAGGACAUGUACAAGGCUGCUUUUCGAUGCCCUGGUUUCCUUGGUUUAUUUGAGUGGACAGUGAUGACAUUCGGAUUAAAAAAUGCUGGCGCCACAUAUCAAAGGGCUAUGAAUUUGAUUUUUCAUGAUUUACUCGGUGUCAUACUUGAAGUUUAUAUUGAUGAUAUUGUUGUCAAAUCGGAUGCUUUUGAAUCACACUUGGCUGAUUUGCGUUUAGCUUUUGAAAGAAUGAAAAAGUAUGGACUGAAGAUGAAUCCUUUGAAGUGUGCUUUCGGUGUGUCAGCUGGCAAGUUUUUGGGUUUCAUUAUUCAUGAAGAUGGCAUAGAGAUUGAUCCCAAAAAGAUAGAGGCCAUACAGAAAGUGGAAGCUCCAACAUGCAAGAGAGAUAUGCAAAAGUUCCUUGGCAAGGUCAAUUAUUUGAGAAGGUUCAUAGCUAAUCUAUCAGGGAAAGUUGAUGCAUUUACUCCUAUCCUUCGGUUGAAGAAUGAUGCUGAUUUCACUUGGAGGGCAAAACAGCAAGAAGCAUUUGAUAUGAUCAAAAACUAUUUGUGCACUCCUCCGGUGAUGAAAGCACCCAAGCAUAGAGAACCCUUCAGGCUUUACAUUGCAGCAGAGGAAGGAGUUAUUGGUGCUGUUUUGACUCAAGAAACCGAGGCAAAAGAGCAUGCUAUUACAUAUUUGAGCAGGCGCUUAUUGGACGCCGAGACAAGGUAUAUAUUUAUUGAAAAAUUAUGUCUAUGCUUAUAUUAUGCUUGCACAAAACUGAGACAUUAUUUAGUGCCGAGUGCUUGUGUAGUAGCUUGUCAAACCGAUGUCAUUAAAUACAUGUUGCAUAGGCCAAUUCUUAGUGGUAGAAUUGGCAAGUGGGUUUAUGCUUUGAUUGAAUAUAAUUUGGCUUAUGAAUCUCUAAAAUCCAUGAAAGGCCAAAUUGUUGCUAAUUUCAUUGUUGAAUAUCGGAUUAAUGACAAGAAUGAUGUUGAUAUGAACCUUGUUUCAUUAGUACCAUGA